This 762-nucleotide ribosomal RNA is filed under the name uncultured bacterium. RNAcentral describes it as "bacterial SSU rRNA". It matches the Rfam family "Bacterial small subunit ribosomal RNA", at positions 29 to 837 of the family's 1533-position model. The record is from RNAcentral.
ACGAACGCUGGCGGCAGGCCUAACACAUGCAAGUCGAACGCACUCUUCGGAGUGAGUGGCAGACGGGUGAGUAACGCGUGGGAACCUACCUAAUGGUACGGAAUAACUCGGGGAAACCCGUGCUAAUACCGUAUAAGCCCGAGAGGGGAAAGAUUUAUCGCCAUUAGAUGGGCCCGCGUUGGAUUAGCUAGUUGGUGAGGUAAUGGCUCACCAAGGCGACGAUCCAUAGCUGGUCUGAGAGGAUGAUCAGCCACACUGGGACUGAGACACGGCCCAGACUCCUACGGGAGGCAGCAGUGGGGAAUAUUGGACAAUGGGCGAAAGCCUGAUCCAGCCAUGCCGCGUGAGUGACGAAGGCCUUAGGGUUGUAAAGCUCUUUUGGCGGGGACGAUAAUGACGGUACCCGCAGAAUAAGCCCCGGCUAACUUCGUGCCAGCAGCCGCGGUAAUACGAAGGGGGCUAGCGUUGUUCGGAAUUACUGGGCGUAAAGCGCACGUAGGCGGAUUUGUUAGUCAGGGGUGAAAUCCCGGGGCUCAACCCCGGAACUGCCUUUGAUACUGCAAGUCUUGAGUCCGAGAGAGGUGAGUGGAAUUCCUAGUGUAGAGGUGAAAUUCGUAGAUAUUAGGAAGAACACCAGUGGCGAAGGCGGCUCACUGGGCCAUUACUGACGCUGAGGUGCGAAAGCGUGGGUAGCAAACAGGAUUAGAUACCCUGGUAGUCCACGCCCUAAAAGAUGUCAACUAGGUGUAUGGAGAAAAUAUU